CCAGUGAAACAGAGGACAUUAUUUUAAUGGAAGACAUCAGUGCAUUCUCAUAUAUUAUUCCUUCUUUACAUAUAAAUAAUGCAAUACAAAGCUUCAUUGUGAAUUAGGCUACUCUAUUUACAGUAACUAAUGUUGGUCGCCAGGUGUCAUCAGACAUGCCCUCCCCAAGUUGUGGGUUUCAGCGCAAGUUAUCAUUAGCUGGCGACCUGAAAGUUGAACCCUGACCCCUGUGAGGAACUAAGCAUUACAUUCUGCAAGGCUGAGGCUGAUUCUGCGCUCCCAUUUAAGCCCAAGGCACUUUUGUCUAUCAACAACAAUUAACAGAGACACUUCAAACAAUACAAUAACAAAUCAAUGUUUCAGUCGUAAAUAUGAUUCUGACUUGUGCGUUUGGGCAGCUUCAUGCAGAAAAUACAGGAACUUACUGUUAGAUGGGAUCAACAACUUUGCCUUGAGCCCAGCAGCAGCAGUAGCAGCCUGCUCUCUGGAGUGAGUGCCUCGUUAAGAUGAGACAUAUACUCAUUUGCCUGGCUAAAUACACCCAGGCAGUGUGUGUUGGAUGGUCCCAGCCUCAGCAUGUGUAGUGGGUGAUGGAGUCAAGCUGUUCCUGCCGAGCGGGGGGGGGUCAGGGUCCUUCAGUCAGCACCCCGUCCCUGAACGGAGCACACAGGAAUCGCCCCUUCCUUCUACACCUCUCCAUCCCCCUCUUCCCCUGGUCUGGCUGCAUCCCUCGCUCUCCCUCCCUCAACCCCAGGUCCAAAUAAACCUGGUAGCGCUGUUGCUCUCCUCUCUCCCCUCCCUCCAUCAUCCUGAGCAGUGCGCUGUCACUCCCCUCAUCAGGAUCAUUAAUCAGGCCAGGCAGAUUAGAGUUCAAACACAAAUAAACCAGCCCAGUGCCCUGCUCUUAGCUCCCCUCAGCUCCACCGUUCCCCAUUCCACUCAAACUGCACUGCAUGACCUGUCCAGCUCAGUCCAGCACUGCAUAGUUCUCUGCUUUCAGGACGUGUAGGAAAGGAUGAUUGGGUGAAGAGUGGACUGGUGUGGAAUAGUGUACUUGACAUGUUUGAAGACUUAAAUAGUACGACAUCAUUUAUGUGACUGGUAAAAAUCACAAUAGUAUAAUGGCAGUUAAGUGAAAUAAACAAACCGCCUUAUCUCAGAGGGUGAUGACUUUGUGGGCUAAACUGCCAGCCGUGUAAAUACACAAUUUUAUCAGUUAGCGCUGCAAAUGCCUCUAUGGUCUCCACAUUCAUAACAUAACAGACAUCUCAAAUAAGGAUUAAAAGAUUCCAAUGUGCACCGUGAAUGUGCCAGGGCUUAUUCAUUAUACACUGACUUCACUACCCUAUCAUUUCUUUACUGGCAAGUUAUUCAAAGAAAAUAAGAGGGCAAUACCGCCACCUUUAGGCAGCAUUUGGUACUGCCACCACUGUGGCCCAGGUAGUUUCUCUCCCGUAGAGGGAUUGGGUUGCCAGAGGUUGCUGGCCAAGGCGUCCCCACACACAGACUGACAGAGGUUGUUAUUGUAGUCCCACUGUAUUCCUUUGUGCAUUGGGGUUGAGGGGAGGUGAGAGGGGGGGGGGAGAGCAGAGUGCUGGAAUGAGUGGAGGCCUAAUCAAGGGCUCUGCACUCUGGCCCAGACCGGGCCCUGUGCUGCUCUGCACCUCUCUGACUGACAGCCUGCCCGCCGACUGUUUGUGUGUGUCCAUGGGAAACGGGUAGUGUCACCGCGGCGACGGCCCUUGGCCCAUCCAUCAGUGUCACCCGGGCAACGCAUAUGUCACUUUCAAGACUAAUGGACAGGAAGAACAGGAGGAGAAACAACAAUAUUUUCUGAAUAUAUUUCAGAAACAUUAGUUGCCCAGCUUUCUCUCUCUUAUACAGUUAUUUUUCAACAAACUGGAAUGGGUCCUAAUUCUGAUUUAUGAGCCAGUUUAUUUAAAGGAUGCUGCUUGUGUCUGGACGUUUUCACGAACGUGGGUCUAGAACUCCUUAUGGCUUUCAGAGGGAGAAGGGGACAUACUACAUACAUUAAGGGGCUACAUUGGGUAACCAUGGCCUGGUUAAUGUGACCACUAGUCAAACCUGACACAGAUCUAGCUUUACCUAGAUUUGGCAUUGCAGUCAUGACCUGGAGGACCCUGCAAUGAUAAGACGGAGUGGAGACCUGAAAUCCAGAGGAACUGGGAUGUCAGGGAAAGCAGAGCGUGCUUCUACAGGUUUUACAUGGACCGUUAUGAGGUGGCUAGGAGACAAGUGUUGCAACCAGAGCUAUAUAUAUGCAUUACAAUUACUUCCCUGUAUGCGUCUCUAAUGGGACCAUAAUGCCUUUCUAGUGCACUACUUUUGACCAGAGCCCUAUGGGCCCUGGUUGAACGUAGUGCACUACAUAGGGAGGAGGGUGACAUUAGGGACACAUUCCCUGUCUCUACGAGGAGGUUCCUUCCCGUGUGCUCAGGUGUGUUCAGAGAAGGGGGUGCUUAACCUCAGCAGCCGGUAACCGUGGCGUCCAGCCCUGAGCGCUUGCUGACGUUGACUUUGGUCAGCUCCUCGGCACAAGUGGGGUGGAUCCCCACGGUCUCCUUCAGGUGAGUGAGGGUGGCCCCGCAUCUGGAGAG
Molecule: long non-coding RNA, 2618 nt
Filed under: Salmo salar (Atlantic salmon)
Lineage: Eukaryota; Metazoa; Chordata; Actinopteri; Salmoniformes; Salmonidae
Description: lncRNA (ENSSSAG00000085076.1)
Source: RNAcentral